UGGGCGUGGUGGCGGGCGCCUGUAAUCCCAACUACUCGGGAGGCUGAGGUAGGAGAAUCGCUUGAACUCGGGAGGCAGAGGUUGCAGUGAGC
RNAcentral lists this microRNA precursor (92 nucleotides) under Chlorocebus sabaeus (green monkey). RNAcentral describes it as "miRNA (ENSCSAG00000021038.1)". The record is from RNAcentral. Lineage: Eukaryota; Metazoa; Chordata; Mammalia; Primates; Cercopithecidae.